GUAGUAUUACCUCUGUCCUAAAAUUCUUGUCUUAGAUUUGUUAAGUUACGGAUGUAUCUAACACUAAAGCGUGUCUUCAUACAUCCGUAUUUAGACAAAUAUAAGACAAGAAUUUUGGGACGAAGGGAGUACUAC
Molecule: non-coding RNA, 135 nt
Organism: Triticum aestivum (bread wheat)
Lineage: Eukaryota; Viridiplantae; Streptophyta; Magnoliopsida; Poales; Poaceae
Source: Rfam